Molecule: unclassified non-coding RNA, 270 nt
Filed under: Hevea brasiliensis (rubber tree)
Lineage: Eukaryota; Viridiplantae; Streptophyta; Magnoliopsida; Malpighiales; Euphorbiaceae
Source: RNAcentral
GUGAAUAUAAAGUAUACAUCAGCAGCGAAGCAAACUGAAAAUCAUUCCUUCCUGAACCCUCUUAUCUACCCGCAUGAUCAUCAGUAAUAUAAUGCCUUGAUACGAUAAAUGAUCUGCUAGGCACUUCUCCAAAGCCCAAAAUUUGGUCCAUCAGAUGGGGCAAGUGAAUUAUGGAUAAAUGCAGGUUCUGCCAGUGCCCCAGCAAGCAUCUGCAUCUAAUCUAAUUUUCAGCUGGCUGUCGACCAAUUUCACUGGACACUGAUGAAAUGC